GCAUAUCAAUAAGCGGAGGAAAAGAAACCAACAGGGAUUGCCCUAGUAACGGCGAGUGAAGCGGCAACAGCUCAAAUUUGAAAUCUGGCUCUUUCAGAGUCCGAGUUGUAAUUUGCAGAGGGCGCUUUGGCGUUGGCAGCGGUCCAAGUUCUUUGGAACAGGACGUCACAGAGGGUGAGAAUCCCGUACGUGGUCGCUAGCCAUCACCGUGUAAAGCCCCUUCGACGAGUCGAGUUGUUUGGGAAUGCAGCUCUAAAUGGGAGGUAAAUUUCUUCUAAAGCUAAAUACUGGCCAGAGACCGAUAGCGCACAAGUAGAGUGAUCGAAAGAUGAAAAGCACUUUGGAAAGAGAGUCAAAUAGCACGUGAAAUUGUUGAAAGGGAAGCGCUUGCAGCCAGACUUGCCUGUAGUUGCUUACCUAGACUUUUGUCUGGGGCACUCUUCUGCAGGCAGGCCAGCAUCAGUUUGGGCGGUUGGAUAAAGGUCUCUGUCACGUACCUCCCUUCGGGGAGGCCUUAUAGGGGAGACGUAAUGCAACCAGCCUGGACUGAGGUCCGCGCAUCUGCUAGGAUGCUGGCGUAAUGGCUGUAAGCGGCCCGUCUUGAAACACGGACCAAGGAGUCUAACAUCUAUGCGAGUGUUUGGGUGUCAAGCCCAUACGCGUAAUGAAAGUGAACGGAGGUGGGAACCUUAGGGUGCACCAUCGACCGAUCCUGAUGUCUUCGGAUGGAUUUGAGUAAGAGCAUGGCUGUUGGGACCCGAAAGAUGGUGAACUAUGCUUGAAUAGGGUGAAGCCAGAGGAAACUCUGGUGGAGGCUCGCAGCGGUUCUGACGUGCAAAUCGAUCGUCAAAUUUGGGCAUAGGGGCGAAAGACUAAUCGAACUAUCUAGUAGCUGGUUCCUGCCGAA
This 907-nucleotide ribosomal RNA is filed under the name Edenia gomezpompae. RNAcentral describes it as "LSU rRNA". It matches the Rfam family "Eukaryotic large subunit ribosomal RNA", at positions 38 to 965 of the family's 3401-position model. The record is from RNAcentral. Lineage: Eukaryota; Fungi; Ascomycota; Dothideomycetes; Pleosporales; Pleosporaceae.